GGGUGAGUAACGCGUAAGGAACUUGCCUCUUGGUCUGGGACAACUGUUGGAAACGACAGCUAAUACCGGAUAUUAUGAGAUUCUCGCAUGGGAAACUUAUGAAAGCUAUAUGCGCCAAGAGAGAGCCUUGCGUUCCAUUAGCUAGUUGGUGGGGUAACGGCCCACCAAGGCGACGAUGGAUAGCCGGCCUGAGAGGGUGAACGGCCACAAGGGGACUGAGACACGGCCCUUACUCCUACGGGAGGCAGCAGUGGGGAAUAUUGGACAAUGGGCCACAAGCCUGAUCCAGCAAUUCUGUGUGCACGAUGAAGGUCUUCGGAUUGUAAAGUGCUUUCAGUUGGGAAGAAGAAAGUGACGGUACCAACAGAAGAAGCGACGGCUAAAUACGUGCCAGCAGCCGCGGUAAUACGUAUGUCGCAAGCGUUAUCCGGAUUUAUUGGGCGUAAAGCGCGUCUAGGCGGAAAAAUAAGUCUGAUGUUAAAAUGCGGGGCUCAACUCCGUAUUGCGUUGGAAACUGUUUUUCUAGAGUACUGGAGAGGUGGGCGGAACUACAAGUGUAGAGGUGAAAUUCGUAGAUAUUUGUAGGAAUGCCGAUGGAGAAGUCAGCUCACUGGACAGAUACUGACGCUAAAGCGCGAAAGCGUGGGGA
Molecule: ribosomal RNA, 649 nt
Filed under: uncultured bacterium
Lineage: Bacteria
Description: bacterial SSU rRNA
Rfam family: Bacterial small subunit ribosomal RNA
Source: RNAcentral